This is a long non-coding RNA of Anopheles arabiensis, 2710 nucleotides long. RefSeq lists it as uncharacterized. The record is from RefSeq and is a predicted model, not a curated record. NCBI's taxonomy places the organism in Eukaryota, Metazoa, Arthropoda, Insecta, Diptera, Culicidae. The transcript has 3 exons.
CUUUAAAGCGCUCGAGCGAGUAGUGCCAUAUGUGUGCUUUGUUGGUUGAAGGAGUGUGCGUGCCCCUAAUAAGAGUGAUUCGCCUCAUCAAUAUUUAAACACUGAAACUACAAACUCAACGUAGCACUGAUGUCAAAUACACGUCACAUCAUAAAAUAUUUAAUUUACAUGCAAACAAUUUUAAAAAUACCAAACCACGAAAUGUUUUGAUAACAAUACAAAAAUAUACAACCCAUAAAUUAAAAAAAGAAACCUAGUUGAUGAGCUUUGGAUGGGUGAAUAAAAAAAACCUGGCAAUUUUUGAGGGAAGCAAAUGCUCGUCAUCCGAAGGAGACAAAAAUUGUCACGAAGUACCGAUUCUUCAUCGUGAGGUGCAAAUGGGAAUUUAUUCAAUCGAUGGACAAACCUGGAGGAAACCGUGCACCCAGCGAACGACGACGACGGGUUGGUGGUGCUCGAAAACAAAUUGAAAAUUAAAAUGCGCCACCCAUAGGACCGGAACCACGUCGGUACGAAGACACCAUUGCACCAGGGAAAUGAGAGAAAUGGAAAAUUUUGCAAACGAAAGACCAUUCCCUAACCAUAGUUCACUCGCUGUGUACCAGCUGCAUAAAGAAUGAAGGAAAAAAUGCACCUAAAAAAAUACGCUCCAAUGCCGAAAAAACACACCUUCUGAUAGCGUGCUGAAAAUAUCAUGCAGCGUCGGAAAUAUUCCAACGAAAAAACAAGAUUACUUUCAACACUACUACUUUCGUCCCAAUCCAGCACGAUAGGGAACGUUUUUCAUCUUUCGCCCAUCUCCACAAAACGCACCACGGUACACGGUGCAAGGGAGUGCUAGAGAACGAAUGAAAAAAAAUCUAUUCCUGAGGAGACAAAAAAAAAAUCUUCGCUAGCACAAUAUACCACUCCCAACGGCUUUCAGUGGCGGUGUGUAGGGGAUGAUGGUUGGAUGAAAAUUUCGGGUAUGCGAAAAGCAAAAUUGUCCAAGACAGCGCGAUGAGGAAGUCUUUGUUCUAAUGGGUUUCGGUUCGGCGCUGGCCAUGGAUGGCUUGUUUUUUUUCUCCUGGAUGAGUUUGUCUUCUUCCCCAUAUACUUCUAUUUUGUCAAAAGUACUUCCCUCCAUCGAAUGAACACAAAAGAAUGGAGAAAAUUAACCGAACUUUGUAAAAAUCGAUCGAUAACGCCGUCUGGAAGAGUAAUGAAAAAUAUCGAUCAGAAAUAUAGCAACCAGCUACUGUAUGGUCGAAAAACGUUAUGAUUGAUGUAUGAUUGCUAAUGUGGAAGAAAACACUAUUGUAUCAUAACAAUUUCUUUACAUAACCGUACUUUUUUUUUGCAUCAAUCGAUAAUUCACCGUGCAGAUGCAGAUUGUGUGCCAAUCUCAUGCCCUUAAUCAGCCAUACAAACCACCACCUUCUGUGCAGUAGGUAUUCAACAAUAAUGUCAAGCAGCCGAAUGCAUCGCAAUGUUCAGGCCGAAUUUAAAAUUCUCCCCUGCUUGUAGAUUCGCGGCAAGAUUUUUGGACCAGGCUUUGUCGUUAGUGGGGCGCCCUGUUGCGUUAUCGGUCCAUCGCCGCCUGUUCCAAAAUGUAACUGGGACAAACAGAUGCAGCUGCAUGCCAGCGAGCAAGCUGUCGAAAUGCAAACGAACUAAGCUCCGAUGCGCAAAUUUUGUCAAACGCCUUCAAACAGCUCGACGGCAGCUUUCGCAGCGUGGAAGGAAAACUGUGCACCGGAAGGAUCUAACGAAUUUGCCUCACACAGGUAUUAAGAGACCAGACUUAACUCCCCAUCGCACCUAACCAUCGUGCAUCUCUGCGUUACUGUUUCUUCUUUCUUCGGUGCUGAACCAAUCAAACGCUCCCCCGAACUGAAGCAACCAGACAAAGUGUCCCGACGAAAAACGCUUCCUGCUAGCAUUGAGGUGGCAUGCAAUCUGUUAGUACAGGCCGUGACACCCGUGCGCGCUGCACUGCAAGUCCCUCUCUUCGGCUUCAACGCUCCAGACAUCGGGCCGUCCCAAAAGGUGUUCCAAACUCGUGUGAAUUAUUCAACACUUUUUGACGCUGCUCAACACCGUUCGCCAAUGUCCGCAUUAGCUUCGUUUGCUUCAUUUUAGGCGGUGAUCGGUCGGGCGACGUUUGCUGCUCGCUCUUCAUCCCUCUUCCAUCGCCGUACACCAGGCCAGUUGCAUAUGUGCAUGCAUUGAGCUAGCAAAUACUUGCAGCACUAUCGAUUUUUUUUCAUUCAGUUCGUGAAACACGCACACACGGAGCUGAAUUAUUCUAGCAAGAAACGAUUUUUGUGUAUGUUAAAAAUAAGCGCAGGUUUUGAAUUUCAUUCCCGAGCCCAAAACUGGUACACAAUUUAAGGCGUCAAUGCUAUUGGCGGUUUUGGUUGAAUACGUUUCGUCGUUUGUACACACGUCUGAUGAUAAGCUGUAAAUCAUAGAAUUAAAGGGUUAAAAUUAUAUUUUCAAACAACCAUCAUCCAUCAUUCGGCUGAUUUUGAACAGAACUGAUAGUUUAACAAUAGAAGCUCCUCUCGUGAGCCAUUAAUUAGCCAAAUGAAGGCGUAAAUAAUAAAGACAUUUAGUUAUGCAAAGAAAGAAACAUAAAAGACACUUUCGCAGCUCUACCAAACUGGUUACAUUUCCUUAAUUGUGUAGCAAAAUUCCGAUAUAGAUUCGGUAAACCUUACGCGUUGAC